Molecule: long non-coding RNA, 10085 nt
Filed under: Sorghum bicolor (sorghum)
Lineage: Eukaryota; Viridiplantae; Streptophyta; Magnoliopsida; Poales; Poaceae
Description: long non-coding RNA (SBIC_LNC005563)
Rfam family: tRNA (bases 9368-9436)
Source: RNAcentral
GUGAAUGCUCUCUCCCUCUUUUAUUAAUGUCGGCGUGCUCCUUUUAUAGGGCUCGGAAACCGACCUAAGACAGUUACAGAUAUGCCCCGUGACGGUGGGGGAAUAUUCCAGCAUAUUCGUACAUCACAGUCUGCUGAUCCUAAGUUACUUGCGUAAUUUCACACUACAGGCUCUCCACGCGCUCCUCGUUCGGGGCUUCAGACUGUCGAACGCUCGUAUCCUUCGCCCGGCAGUCGAUCCUUCGACUCUUCCGCGUCGAAGGUUCCCUGAGCCGGCUGAGUCGGAGGUUGCUCGGGUUGGCCACCUCGGAGGCCGCUCGGCUCAGAUGCGCCGGAGGUUUAUCUCCUCCGCCGCAUCUCCCAAACAUCCUUCGCCAUAGGAAAGCUCGAAGGUUCCCCCCUUCUUCGCCCGCAGAUCUCCGCCGGUGCUCCAGUCCCUGCAUAUGCUCAACAUAGCGAGAGUCAUGUCAACGUUAGCCUUUCUCAGGGUCCUCCGCAUGCAUCUGCACGGAGGUUUCCUGGGUGGAGGAUAGCCUUAGACGCUACCAGGUCGGAGGUUACUCGGGUGAAGGAUAACCUCAGACGCUACCAGGGGGAAGGAUGCGGCCAUUUCCCAACAGUUCCCCCCUUUUUGGGCUAAUGGCACUCUUGCGGUCCAUGUGCUCAAAAACAUGCCACGUUGCGGAGGCUGCGAGCAUGGUUGCUGCCUUCCCCCCUGGUGCGCAGGAUGUGUUUGUUAGCGUCUUCGAAAAAAUAUUUCUUUUACCUAGCCAUUUGUUUUGACAGGAUCCUUCGAUCAUUGUUGUUUCUGAUAGGCUGUUAUCCUUCGCGCGUUAGAGUGCGAAGGGUAUUAUAGCCGUUGGAGUUAGCCGUUUGGGCUGGUGAAUCGCAACGGUCAGGCCGAGUCCUCCGCUUUUAGCCGUUGGGCGCGGGGAAUCGCAACGGCCGCGCGGUCGCAGGCCCCCCCCUAUAAAAAGGGAUGCUGGGGGGGCUCUGAGCUCUCACCCCUGCCGCUCAUUUCCUGCACAUUUUCCUUCGCCACAUUUUGCUUUCUGAGUUGCUCGCACCGCUCGCGUGUGUUAUUGCUGUGUUUAGUCGGAGGGUCUACGGUGGCUCAUCUUCCUCCGCCGCGUCCUUCGAGGUCAGAUUUUUCUGGUCCUUUGCGAGAUUUUCUUAGUGUAAGGUCUGGGGGUUGGCUGCGGAGGUUUGAGGAGUGGAUGCUUGAGGUGGCAGCAGCUCAAGACCUGGAGGAGACGUUGUCCGACGUCGAAGCUUCUGUUGGUGAUCUGAUCAGCGCGAAGGAGUUUGAGGAGAUGGCUGCAAUUACCUUUGAGUUUGGGGAGUCGACAGUGAGGACGGAGGAUAUCGCUGACAUGGUUGAAGCGCGGUUUUUCAAGGAUGGCCGCGCGAAGGCUCCUCCUGCGGGUCAGACGGGGCCUGCGCCUGAAGAGGGUUAUGCUGUUGUAUUCAGGGACUUUUUUACCUGCGGACUUCGGAUGCCUCCGUACCAUUUCCUUCGCGAGGUGAUGGAGAGCUUCAACAUUGAGCUACAGCAUUUCAGCCCCAAUGGGAUACUGACCCUUAGCAAGUUUUCAUGGGCAUGUGAAUCCUACGGAGCCAUGCCCCACAUUGACACUUUUUGCUCAUAUUUCGAACUUCAGCGCCAGCCUAAGAAGGUGAGGGAUGCCGAAGGUGUUGAGUGCAUUGCGCAGUUUGGAAGCUGCACGUUCAUGCCGCGCCGCACAAUGCCUGGGCCAAGGUGCGAGAUCUCCUACUGCCAAAAGGGCAAGUGGGAGAAGGAUUGGAUGAGAGCCUGGUUCUACGUGAAGACCCCCGCUGCGUCGAGGACUUUGGAUGAUGGUAGCGUUGAUAAGGUUUACCCUUACGCAUCCUUGAUGAAGGAUUUGAAGCCUGUCUCGAAGGUUGAUCCUUCGAAACCGGUGUCGGAGGAGCAGCUUGGGGCGCGAUUGGCCUGCGACAAGGCCUUUGCGCUGGCUUGCCGAUACUCCGGAGGUCGGGACCUGGUCGAGGAGAUGGUUGCAGCCGACUACUGGCCCCUUGGCCGCAGGACUGACGAGUUCACCAUUGAAAUGGUGCAAGUACCGGUCUUUGGUCCUCCGGAGGGGUUGCCGUUUCCUCGAUUUGGCGCGGGUUUGCCGGAGGAUGAGACGAAGGAAUCUUUUCUUGACCGCGUGGAGGUUUAUGCUCGGAGGAUCGUUGGAAAGAUCUCAGAGAAGGAAUACCUCCAACGGAAGUCCGCACUUGGGACUAUGCCGCGUUUCAAUCGCGUUUUUGAAGAGUUGGGGAUCGAGUAUGAGGAUUAUGCCGUUCCUCCGGAGGUUCUGCUUGGCCUGGAGAAUAAGAAGGAUUCAUCCAAGGCCGUUGCCGCGGCGGAGGCUAAGAAAAGAAAGGGUUGUGGUGCUGUUAAACAACUUGCGAAGAAGCGCAAGGCGGAGGUUGUGCUGGAGACUCCUUUGGAGUCUUCCUCUGCCCGCUCUUCUGCUGCCGAGUCUAACUCGGUGGCUUCUGUUCCUGCGGAGGUUGCUCCUGCUGGUGGAGUUCCUGAGGUUGAAGCCUCACGCGCGGUCUCUUCUGUACGCGCGCCUUUCGGGUCCCUUCUUGGGGAGGAGUCUUCCGACGCGGAGGCCCCUGAGGCGAGUCCUGCGCGGGAGGCAAAUCCUGCGGUGGCUGAGAGUCCUGCGCGGGAGGUUUUGGCUGGAGGAGGAUCUCCGCCGAAGGAUGGGCAAGAGGAAUCCAGUGAUGAGGCAGAGUCUGUCUCUGUUCGGAGGAUAAAGAGGGUGGAGGCUCCUCCGCGUGCGGCUGGAGAUGGUAUAAACUCGUUGUACAUGGGUAAAGAUUUUAUUUUUAUUGAUUCUUGUUUUUCUGCGUUUUUUGCUUGACUUGGUCUCAUUUUUUUUUAUUUUUCAGAGGAUGUUUUUGCUGGGCUGGCUACCGCGGAGGAGUUAGCUAAAGGCGCCAGCGUUGCGCAGGAAGGACUUGCUGUUCCUCCGCGGCGUGAGCCCGCGCCUUCUGCGUUGGCAAGUAGGCCUUCGCCUGCUGAUGUUAUUGGUCCCGGUGGGUUUCUUCUUUUUUGUUCAACUAAUUGGUUUGUUUUUUGGCAUUUUAUUCUAAGGUUUGUUUUUGUUUUGCGCAGGUGCUUUUGAUCCUUCGAUCACAGGUUGGACUGAUGCCUUGCGCGAGGUUCAUUCCUUGGUCGGAGGUUCGUUGUCUGGCCUCCGCCACAGGUUUUUUGUUUCUUACGAUGUUUUUUCUUAAUUGUUUUUGCUUUACAGAUCGUUUUCGUCAGAAGCUCCGCGGCAUGGACUUUGACACGCUCCUUCGCGUGCAAUAUGAGCACCAUAGCCUUGUACGUUUGCGAUGUGUUAUAUUUUCCUUCGCCGUUUUUCGCUCGGAGGUUGGUUGUAAUUCUUAUUUUUUGAGCAGGGUCAUCACAUGGCUGCCGCCUUGGAGGAGCGCUGCUCCCGGGAGGUUAUUUGCCGGGACGAGGCUAUUGGUGCUCUGAAGAAGGAGAACGAGACCUUGGAGGUUGAGAAGGCUCGCCUGACGGAGGAGGUUAAGGAGUUUUCUUCCGUCAGGCGGGAAAUUGAGUCCCUGAGAAAGGAAAGGGAUGACUACAAAGCUGGGUCGGAGGCCUUGAAGAAGGAUAAAGAAGAUGCCGAAGCUUCGGCGGCUGUCCUCCGCACGAGUGUCACUGAGGCGGGGAGAGUUAGGGACUUGGCCCUGCAGCGAGCCGAGAAGGCGGAGGACAUUGCUGAACGCCUUCGCAAAGAGCUUGACGCUGAGCGGACGUCUGCGGCUGAGCUGCAGACUCGCAUACAGAAGGCGGAAGCGGAGGCUGCAGCUAUUGUUGGGCUCUAUGCCGACUCGCUGGCGAAGUUUGGGGGUAGCACCUCUGCUCCUCCGCCCGGCGGCGACGUUGGGGCUGCCCUCGCAUGGCUGAAGUCUCAUAUCUGCAUGCUCCCUGAUUUUGUCGGGGGCGCUGUUGAUUUUGGGGCUUUGGCCGCGGUUAGCUCCUUUGCUAAGCUGCUGCGCCGCGGAGGUUGCUCCCACGCGGAGGAUGUUGCCAAGGAGGAGUUUGCCACGGCGGAGGAUGUUGGCGAGGGCACCUCUAGCCUGCGCAAAUCUGUCCGGAACUUCAUCAGUUCGUUCUGGAUUAGGUUUGGGCGGGCUGAGGCGAAGAAGAUGGCGGAGGCUCGUCGCGCUGAGGUAUUUUUGAUUUGGUUUUUUCUUUUUGUAUUUUGUUUUGCUGCUUUGCAAUGUUAUUUAAGAUGGGUAUUUUGUAGGAGAUUGCGAAGAAGAAGGCUAAGAUUGACAAGGCCGGUCCUUCGCGUCCACCAAGCGAGGCGCAUCCUCCGACCCAGGCUGAAGCGGAGGCUCGUGAUGCUGGUGCCAAAGCUCCAGAGGGGUCUGCUGCCAGGGUUCCAGAGCAGCCCGAGACUUCUGCUCCUCCUCCGCCUCAGGUGUGAGGCUUUUUAGUUUUUAGGUUUUUCUUAGUCUUUUUUGCGUCCAAGCAUGUGACGCUUUUUUGUAAGUAAGGCCGGAGGUUUUGCUUAAUUUGUAAAGACUGUUGAAAAUGUAAUAUAUUGAGUUGUUUUCAGAUAAGCCUUUGUUUUACACUUUGAUCCUGCGCAGGUCUCUGGCGGAGGACCUGCGCAGGAUCAAUACAUUACUCCCCUUUCAAUUUUUUACAAAGGGAUUUAUGUUUCUGGCGAAUUGUGGGAGUACUGGCGAAUUGCCUUCCCUAACAUGAGGGUGGUGGAUAUGUUUGAGUUUGUUGGAUAUGACCUAAAUGACGAACGAUCUGAAUUCGUCCGGUCGCUUGCGCGCCGAGGUUCAUGGCCUCCGGCUUAGGUGGUUGUUUUUGCUUUAUUUUUCGUUUAUCGUAGGUUAUGUGUGUAUUUCUUUGACAAGGUUUGUUGCUUUUACGCAGCCGCCAUAUCCUAUCCUUCGCAUCUUUGGUGAGAAGGAUAGGGUACGCUGGGUGUCGGAUGUUUCCGAGGAUUUGGCUGAGCCUUUUCUCCAUGGAUAUCCGGAGGUUCGAAAGCUUCGUAAUACGUUUUGGUUUUAUCCUUCGUAAUAAGUUUUGGUUUUGAAGUUUCUCUCUUUUUUUGUACAGGUUGUGAGGUCUGGUCCAGAGGAUGUUCUUCCUUCGAACUUUGUCGAAGGAAGCUACGUUACCCCUGUGACGUUCAAGCGUGGAGAUCUGUAUGCGAGGGGUUACCUGAUUGAUUGGUGGCGCCAUAAGUAUCCUACGCGUAGUAUUGAUGACUUAGUUGAUUUUCUUGUUCGUGAUUACUGCGAUGAGCUUAGGCUUAUUCCAGAUUCGUAUGUAAAAAUUGUGCGAGGGUCUUAGAACCUUCGACUCUUGACGGUCGAAGGAUGUUUUUCGUUUUUGGUUGUAAACUUUUGUUGUUUAUAGUUAAUAAAGAUCAGACAUUUUGACCAUUGCUUUGGCCAUGUUCUUCGCACCUUUUAGCUUUAUUUUUAUUUCAACCUUCGCGCUAUAACGUUUAUACAUUGCAACGUCACGGUGGUGUUGAUCCUAAGGAUCUUUGUGUUGCUGUGGCCUGCUUGUGCUUGAUGCUCGAUGUUGCGAAGGUGGUGUUGAUUUUUUCUUGCGCGGAGGAUCGCCGCUUCUUGGCCUUAGAACCUUUGACUUUAUUGGUGCGAAGGAGCCUCCGCUGAAUUGUGCUACUUUUUCCCUUUGCUCGACUCCCGUGGAGUGUUGUCGAGGAGAACCUUCGGGUAUCUGAGUCGGAGGUUCUGAAGGGACGUUACGAGACUUCGUGCGAUACCCUUCAGAGACCUCUGAGUCUGAUUUCCAUUAUUUCUGUUGUGGCUGUACACGACUUUGUAGUCGAUGUUCAUCACAACGCCGCAGUUCUAUUAUUACGAAGCUUCGUGCAAUACAAACUUUUGUUGCUGUUGUGAGGCUAACUCCUGCUUCCAUGGUGGCCUAUGAUUUUUGCUUUUUGACUGCUAGGUUUGCACUCGAUGCUCGGGUCUUUGUAUACUGAUCCUGAUUGAGGGUGGGGGCAAGGUGAGCCUGGUUUUAUAGGCUUUCAUGCAUUUAUUUUAUGUACUCUGUUAGGUUAAAAUUUAUUAUCGGGUUAUUGAUGGUUGUUGUGGUAGUUGGUUUUGCUGUACCUGACUGAGAGUUAUUGUAGUUUUGUUUUAUUUUCACACUUUGUUUGUUGGGGGUCUGCUUAGAGUAGCAGGAUACCUUCGACCUUAUUUAGGUGAAGGUUAUGUGAGUUUUGUUGAGGUCUGUCUUGUGAAUGUUAAACCUCCGCUGCCUUUUGGCAAAAAUAAUAUAGUUCCUGAUGCCUGAUUGUCCUCAGGUCUUUGUCAGGUCUGAAGGUUUUGUUCCUUCUGGCCAUGUUGUGAUGCCUGAGGAGGACAGGACUUUUUCACUUUUUGGCCAUGCUAUCCUUGCUGCCCGGCUCUUGGCUAGGUCUUUUGCUAAGGAUUUGGUGUUUUUUCACCUUUGAGGACGUUCCGAGCUUUCUUAGCUUUUGGAUGAAUGCUGCGGAGGGUCCUUGUGAUCACGUGAUGAUUUGUCGAAUGCUACAGCCUCGUUGAUGGCUGUUUUUCGACUUUUGGGCUUUGGUUCUGGGGUGGAUUCCUCUUUAUAUCUCAGAGGUUUUUACAUAGGUUCUGCCUCGUUAAAAACCUCACCUCCUGGUAGGAGUACCCCUGUGAGGAAAAGAGUGCAGACCUUGGAAUGCGAAAAAGUAGAGAAAAAGAAAACAAGCGUAUUUAGGGAUGUGGAUGCCGUCGCUUAUUUUGCGGGGUCAUCCUUACACUCAAAUGUAAAAUCUACGUAGAUUGUCGACGUUCCACGUGUGGGUGGAGGUUCUACCUUCGAGGUCUUUCAGGUAGAAGGAUCCUGACCUUCCCGCUUGUAUUGCUGUAUAAGGUCCUUCCCACUUGGGUUGCAUUUUACCAGCGUUUGGGUGAUCUCCCUUUUUCCUGAGUACCAGGUCCCCAUCUUGUAUGUCUUUCCGUACUACCUUGCGGUCUCUCCAUUUCUUGGUUUCUUGUUGAUACAUGGUAAUGUUCUCCACCGCCUCAAGUCUUAUUGAUUCUAAGGUUUCCUUGCAGUAGUCUUCAUCUUCAGCCAACUGCUGCUUCAUGGAACGCAGGCUUUGGUGUUUGAUUUCUUCGGGCAACAUUGCCUCUUCCCCAUACAAGAGCUUGAAUGGAGUAAACCCAGUUGUUCUUGAAACUGUUGUGUUAUGUGACCACACAACUCUGGGUAGCUCGUCAACCCAUUUCCCCUUUCGCAGGUUGAGUAAGGUCUUGGAGAUUGCAGAGAAUAUUAUUCUGUUUGCUCUCUCCACGGCCCCAUUUGACUCUGGGUGGUAGACGGACGCGAAAGCAAUUUUGGUUCCUAUGUGAUGGCAGAAUUCCUUGAACCUGUCUGAAUCAAACUGCUUUCCGUUGUCAACUGUGAGAAGUCUUGGAACUCCGAAUCUACAGACUAUGUUCUGCCAGAAAAAUUUCCUGAUCGUUUCAGAGGUUAUGGUUGCCAGUGGCUUAGCUUCGAUCCAUCUUGUGAAGUAUUCGAUGGCCACGACGGCAAACUUGUUUCCCCCCUGUGCAGUUGGCAUCGGUCCUACCAGGUCCAUUCCCCAUCUCUGCAACGGCCAUGAUGCUGAUAUAAGCUGAGUUGGUGCUGAAGGUCCUGACUGAAUUGGUGAGAAGGUUUGGCAGGCUUUGCAUGUCUUCACUAUUUCUUCAGCAUCUUUGAUGUGAGUUGGCCAGUAGAAGCCUUGUCUUAAUGCUUUAGCAGACAAUGCGCGAGGUCCAAUGUGAGACCCGCACAUUCCAGAGUGUAUCUCUUGCAGGAGCUCUCUGCCCUCGCUUUGUGAUAUGCAUCUCAGCAAAGGUUGGACUACGGCUUUCUUGUACAGGAUCCCGUCAAUGGUGGUGUAAUUCCUUGCUCUUGCCUCCAUCCUCUUGGCUAUUGCUUCGUCAUCUGCAGCUGUCUUGCCUUUGAGGCAAUCAGCUAUUGCCUGCCUCCAAUCUUCGCUUUCUGUCAGCAGGACUGAGCGAAAAGCUUUUGGCAACGAUUCGGUUGCGGGUGUUGCAAUAAUCUGGUGGAAGGUUCCUUCUGGCAAGGGGGCGUUGUUGGCUGCUGCUUUCGCUAGCUCGUCUGCCUCGUAGUUCUCGGCUCUUGGAAUGUACUGCAGAGUGAAUCCCUUGAACCUUCUCUCCAGGCCUCUUACGACGGCCAGAUAUCUUGCCAGCUCCGGGUUGUGUGCUAGGUAUUCCUUCUCCACUUGCCCUGCCACCACCUGGGAGUCUGUUUUGAUGAGUAGGGUUUUUGCUCCCGAAGCCUUAGCUUUGUUCAGCCCGAGGAUGAGACCUUCAUACUCAGCUAUGUUGUUUGUUGCUUUGAAUUCGAGUCGUACAACAAACUUUAGUUUGAGUCCAGAUGGUGCGAUUAGAACGGCUGCUGCUCCUGCUCCUGCUUGACCCCAGGCACCAUCUGUAUACAACGUCCACGGUUGAUCGACUACCUUCUCCUCCUCUUUGUUCGAAGGUGUCCAAUCUGCCAUGAAGUCAGCCAGGGCUUGAGAUUUGAUGGAGGUUCUGGGGACAUAGGUGAUGUCAAACUGUGACAGUUCGGCCGCCCAUUUUCCUAUACGUCCGGAAGCCUCUUUGUUCCUAAGGAUAUCACCCAAUGGCUGCGAAGUGGGUACUUUAAUCUCAUGGCUUUGGAAGUAAUGCUUGAGCUUACUUGAUGCACACAAGACCGCGUACGCGAUUUUUUCUAUCUCCGUGUAGUUCAACUUUGCUCCUGACAGAGCUUCGGAUACGUAGUAAACGGGCCUUUGCACCGUUCCCUUGCUGUCGCUUGUCUCGUGCACCAGGACACCACUGACAGCGUGCUCGGAGGCAGCCACAUACAGUAGUAGUGGGGUGUCUGGCUCAAGCACUGUUACCACCAGGUUGGUUGCAAUGUAAUUCUUGAGCUGCCUGAAGGCCUCUGAUUGUUCCGGACCCCAUUCUGUUUUACCUUCUCCUCUCAGCACUUUGAAGAAUGGAAGGCUCCGUUCUGCGGAUCUUGAAAUGAAUCUGUUGAGGGCUGCUAUUCGGCCAGUCAGCCUUUGCACUUCUUUCUUGCUUGAAGGUUCCGCCAUUGACAUGAUUGCCUUUGUCUUGUUUGGGUUUGCUUUGAUUCCUUCAGGACUGAUAAUAUAUCCCAGCAUUUUCCCUUUGCUGACCCCGAAUACGCAUUUCUCCGGGUUGAGUUUCAGCCCGGCGGUUCUGAGGUUGACAAAGGUUUCCUGUAGGUCCUUGAUAUGAUCUUCUUUGCGCUUGCUCAUGACGACAACGUCGUCAACGUAGGCUAGUAGAGCGCAAGGCUCUUAACCUUGUGGUCGUGGGUUCGAGCCCCACGGUGGGCGCCAAUGUUGGGGAGAGGCUCUCCGCACUCCCCAGCAGUACGGUGAAUCGUGAACCUUCUCACUCGGUGCCGUGAGAGGUUUGAGCUCCAACGGACAGUAGGCUCGACAGUAGGUGAAAAUAGUGAAUGCUCUCUCCCUCUUUUAUUAAUGUCGGCGUGCUCCUUUUAUAGGGCUCGGAAACCGACCUAAGACAGUUACAGAUAUGCCCCGUGACGGUGGGGGAAUAUUCCAGCAUAUUCGUACAUCACAGUCUGCUGAUCCUAAGUUACUUGCGUAAUUUCACACUACAGGCUCUCCACGCGCUCCUCGUCCGGGGCUUCAGACUGUCGAACGCUCGUAUCCUUCGCCCGGCAGUCGAUCCUUCGACUCUUCCGCGUCGAAGGUUCCCUGAGCCGGCUGAGUCGGAGGUUGCUCGGGUUGGCCACCUCGGAGGCCGCUCGGCUCAGAUGCGCCGGAGGUUUAUCUCCUCCGCCGCAUCUCCCGAACAUCCUUCGCCAUAGGAAAGCUCGAAGGUUCCCCCCUUCUUCGCCCGCAGAUCUCCGCCGGUGCUCCAGUCCCUGCAUAUGCUCAACAUAGCGAGAGUCAUGUCAACGUUAGCCUUUCUCAGGGUCCUCCGCAUGCAUCUGCACGGAGGUUUCCUGGGUGGAGG